UUAUGUGUGGAGAGCUUUCACUGAACACCAUAAUCAAAUUUUUUGAUGGAGAUGGGCCUGUAGAGGCUUUUUGCACCUCUUUUGUUGUCAGUUUGUGUUCCUGCCUCGUCUCCAGGCCAGCCUUGACUCCUUUAAUAGUGGGUGGAAUAACCAGAGAGUAAUUGAAGCCCAGACCAGUUGUGGGAAAUUGGACUUCUGCAAAACCCUAUCACUCCUCCAGUCCUAUCUGAGAUUGCACAAGACGGCGACUCUGACUGGGACACAGACAGUAUCUCUGACCAGCCGUGGACAGGAAUUGUAGUUCCUCCAGUCGAAUGCCUUAAGGCCCAAAUUCAAACUUUUUUUUAACCCAGCCUCACACUCUCAAAACUAUGGAAGAGACCAUUAUUUAGAAGUUUUAUAUUUUGUGCUGCUUCAUUCUUAAUUGACACUAAAUCAAUCAUUGAAAUGACUAGUGACCAAAUGAUCCAUUUACAAGCAAAUUAACAU
This is a long non-coding RNA of Carassius auratus (goldfish), 489 nucleotides long. RefSeq lists it as uncharacterized. The transcript is spliced from 2 exons. The record is from RefSeq and is a predicted model, not a curated record. NCBI's taxonomy places the organism in Eukaryota, Metazoa, Chordata, Actinopteri, Cypriniformes, Cyprinidae.